GGUUGUGACAGUCUCCAGUCCCUUGUCCCAGGCCACACCUGGAAGGUGGAUGGGGUGAGUCUUGGUAUCAUGAUGGGCUCUUGGCUUGUGACAGGACUCAGACGUUUGGGGACACAUGGCCCCUGUGCCUAUGGAUUUGUCUGUGCACAAGAGGAUGGAGAUGAGGGCUAGAGGCAAAGGCUAGACUGAGGAAGCAGCAGCGGGAGCUUGUGGGGGAUGAGUGGGGAACACGAAGGAGAAUGCUCCUGGGACCUCCAGGGACCCUGACACCUCUCUACUUUGGAGAAGUCCCUUUGUAGGGACUGGGACUCUGGGAGAGUCAGCACGUGAGCUCUCACGGAGGGCAAGAACAUGACCUUCACCCUUUAAUUUC
RNAcentral lists this long non-coding RNA (373 nucleotides) under Mus spretus (western wild mouse). RNAcentral describes it as "predicted gene 43755 (ENSMSPG00010044469.1)". Lineage: Eukaryota; Metazoa; Chordata; Mammalia; Rodentia; Muridae. The record is from RNAcentral.